CCUACGGGAGGCAGCAGUGCGGAAUAUUGGUCAAUGGACGAGAGUCUGAACCAGCCAAGUAGCGUGAAGGAUGACUGCCCUAUGGGUUGUAAACUUCUUUUAUAUGGGAAUAAAAUGUUCCACGUGUGGGAUUUUGUAUGUACCAUAUGAAUAAGGAUCGGCUAACUCCGUGCCAGCAGCCGCGGUAAUACGGAGGAUCCGAGCGUUAUCCGGAUUUAUUGGGUUUAAAGGGAGCGUAGGUGGAUUGUUAAGUCAGUUGUGAAAGUUUGCGGCUCAACCGUAAAAUUGCAGUUGAAACUGGCAGUCUUGAGUACAGUAGAGGUGGGUGGAAUUCGUGGUGUAGCGGUGAAAUGCUUAGAUAUCACGAAGAACUCCGAUUGCGAAGGCAGUUCACUGGACUGCAACUGACACUGAGGCUCGAAAGUGUGGGUAUCAAACAGGAUUAGAUACCCGAGUAGUC
This 460-nucleotide ribosomal RNA is filed under the name uncultured bacterium. Its description in RNAcentral is "partial 16S ribosomal RNA". It matches the Rfam family "Bacterial small subunit ribosomal RNA", at positions 338 to 795 of the family's 1533-position model. The record is from RNAcentral.